Non-coding RNA from Podarcis lilfordi (Lilford's wall lizard), 81 nucleotides. Lineage: Eukaryota; Metazoa; Chordata; Lepidosauria; Squamata; Lacertidae. The record is from the annotation of a GenBank genome assembly.
AGUGGUGAAGAGCAAUAGCUCCGUGGUAGAGCAUUUGCCUUUGCAUGCAGAUGAUCCCAAGUCCAAUCCUUGGCACCUCCG